CAGCCGCCGCGGUAAUACGGAGGGUGCAAGCGUUAAUCGGAAUUACUGGGCGUAAAGCGUGCGUAGGCGGUUCGUUAAGUCUGUUGUGAAAGCCCCGGGCUCAACCUGGGAAUGGCAAUGGAUACUGGCGAGCUAGAGUGUGUCAGAGGAUGGUGGAAUUCCCGGUGUAUCGGUGAAAUGCGUAGAGAUCGGGAGGAACAUCAGUGGCGAAGGCGGCCAUCUGGGACAACACUGACGCUGAGGCACGAAAGCGUGUGGAGCAAACAGGAUUAGAUACCCGUGUAGUCCCUGUCUCUUUACA
This 301-nucleotide ribosomal RNA is filed under the name uncultured bacterium. Its description in RNAcentral is "partial 16S ribosomal RNA". It matches the Rfam family "Bacterial small subunit ribosomal RNA", at positions 509 to 808 of the family's 1533-position model. The record is from RNAcentral.